Long non-coding RNA from Beta vulgaris subsp. vulgaris (sugar beet), 7569 nucleotides. RefSeq lists it as uncharacterized. NCBI's taxonomy places the organism in Eukaryota, Viridiplantae, Streptophyta, Magnoliopsida, Caryophyllales, Amaranthaceae. The record is from RefSeq and is a predicted model, not a curated record. The transcript has 5 exons.
ACACUCUCUCUCCCUUUCCAUUAAACUGGUUCCCUUUCUCUCUCUUACCCUCUCCACUCUCGAUCUUUCUUAUCUACCCUCUACCACUCUCGAUAUCUCUCGCUGCUCUCUCGCUGGCUGCUCUGCUCCGGUGCUAGAUUCGCGCAAUUUGGAGCGCCAUAGCCCUAGAAUCUAUGGUUCUAUGGUUCAAUUCACUGCUCGUGCUGAACUUUAGGUUUCUCUCACUCAACAACCAUCCUCUCUUUUUACUCCGAUCCUCUUACUCAACCACCAUUUUCUUUCUCGCUCGUCUCAUUCAAUACGACAAAUUUGGAUUGUUAAUCGAAACCGGAGCCAAGCAACACAACUGCCAACAACCCUAGCAACCAUCGCCAGGAAGCUGCUACGAUGGUUCUUGUAUAUGAUACAGCUGAGUAAUUUUCGUCUCUUUCUAUUGGUAGAUUGAAAUUUCAUUUAUCAUGUUUCGUUUCACCGGCUUAGGGUUAAGAUUGCAUUUCUAAGUGUUAAUUUUCCUCGAAUUUUAUACUAAUUAGGAUUAAGACUGCAUUUCUGGGUUAAGAUUGCAUUUCUGGGUUAAAAUUAAGGAUAUAAGAUUGCGUAUAUACUCUGAACUGUCUGUAUAUUGUAAAUUUCGCUUCCUUCUCCGUCAUAAUCAUGCUGAAUUUGUUUGGUAAGAUUUCUAGGUUUCAAAGCAAACUGUUAUAGCUAUCAAGUCUUAUCAGAAUCAGGUUGAAAACAUGGUGAAGAAUCUUUUGUUGUCUGAUUAUGUAAUUCCUUACACUUCAUUUAUUACUGGCAUAUUAGUCUGCAAAGUGGUAUAUUUUUAGAAAUCAUUUUAUUCCUUUUUACUUUACUUUUUAUGACAAUUCAUGUGAACUGACCUCAAAUCGUAUUGUGUGGCUCUUAGUUUUUUCUAUUUUGUGACAAUUAUACUACUGGUACUCAUUGUAGAAUUGUAUCAUUAUAUAUAUUUUGCUAUGUCAUAAAUUUCACAGACACAUGAGUUCUGCCUUUGGAUAUGAUGUGCUUGAUAAGUGAAAGUUGGUGUUUAUUACAUGGUACAUAUACCUAAGAUUGGUUUUAUUGGUUUUGUUCAUUGGCUUUGCUAAUGAAUUUCUUUGGAUGCCUCUUAGUUUUCAUGCCAGUUAUGGAUUCUCAACUAUUCUUUUUAUUCACGGAUGUGUUUGAAGUUUUGAACAUGUGAUUAACAGGACACAUAGCAGUGGUGAUUUCAAAGCUCUUUGUUUGAGAUAUAUAGAUUGCUUUUGGUCAUGAAUUUGAAUUCACUACAGUUUCUGUUUAGUACACAUGGGCCGCGGCGAGCAUCCCAAGAUGGGGAAACUUAAGAAGCGUAUCUAUCCAAGUGAUGACAUUGUUAUAAAUAUAUGGAAGGAUGCUCCGAUUCUAAAAUGUCCUAUCCCUGGUCAGAGGUGCUGGUUUAAUAUUUUGAUUACAUGUCCAAAUAUAAUAGAAUGCUUCCCAUUUGUUCUCAUUUUUUCGUUGAUUUUUAGAAUAUGCGUUUAAGAAGUUUCAUCUUUGUUGCCAGCUGGAAAGAAAUAAGGUGUCACAAGUUUCGGGGUAAUUUCUUUUGGCUGUGUUUUUAAGUCCUGUUUGUAGGCACCAGUAGAUUGGUGAUGUUUUGCAUAUCCUUGUUGUUCUUUCUACAUAAGUGAGGCCAUACAAUUUAGGGAUCUGUUUUUUUUUAAUUUUUAUUUCUACCAAAGUGACUUUUCACUAUGAUGCUGCAAAAUGGUCAAUUUAGCUCUUUGUUAUGUUCAAUGUAUUGAUGAGCUACUAUAUGUUUAAUGCAGAUGAAAGUUUCAUCUUCUUUAUUUAUUUCUUCUAUACUCCUUCAUGUUUCUCUUGUGGUUAUUAUUGGAUGAGGUAUAUCUGCUGUCAUUGUGGUUUAAAAUGUAAUUCUUAGAAAUUGUUCGUUCAUGGGAUAUAUUUGUCUUUUUGACAUGUAUAGCAUGACAAUAUGGUCGAGCUUAUAGAGUAGCUAGCACUUGCUGAUGAUGCUUUUCAUAGAUGAACAUGAACCAUGUAUGCGCUCUAUGCUUCAAUGUUAGUGGGCUAACUUGUUGAUUGUACUUGUGGUUGUUUUGACUCAUCCCUAAGAGGGUAUUUGUAGCCAUUCUUACUCAAUUCUUGAUUGCCAGGUCAACCAAGGAGGCAUUUGCUUCAAAGUGGUUGGAGUGUAUUUAUUAGCUCAAAAAGACUUGUAGCUGGUGAUGCAUUUAUUUUUCUCAGUACAUGGAGUGAUGGGAGUCUGUGAAGAAUCAAUAUUCCAUUUGGAUGCGUUUUAAGAUGAGAUUUGAAGGGGAAGAGGUUCCAGAGUCCUCUGUUCUUACAAGAGAAGUGAGCAAGAUUAAAAAAAUGCCAUGUUCCCAAUCACUUUCUCAAGACGCUCAAACGAGAGUACAAGCCACAAGGUGGUUCCUUUAGGAGCUAUACUAAGGUGCAAAAGCAAGGAAUGUCCCUCGGUAGGUAAGUGGACCUCUCAAAGUUUAGUGAUUAUGAUAAGUUGGUUGAAGAAUUGGAUCACUUGUUCAAUUUCAAUGGUGAACUCAAGAUCCCUGAGAAGAAUUCACUCACUGUCUACACUAACGACGAGGGUGAUAUGAUGCUGGUUGGAGAUGACGUGUGGUAGUAUGUGUUGCAUAUUUACGGUAUUCACCUACAUAGCUUCAUAAAGUUGAUAAGUUGACUUUAGGUUCACUUAUUCGCAUUUAGUUUAGGUCAUUUAGAUUCAUUUUAGGCCAUAUAGUAUCCUUUUUCUUCCCCUUUUCCAUCAUUUCUCAUAUUCUCAUGCUUAGCAUUUACUUUUAGUUCAUUUGCAUAUUGUUAGGUUGCAUAUAGGUCACUUCAUUUGCAUGUGCAUUCCCCCCUCCCCAUCUAAUAUUUUCUUGGAGUGUUUUGAAGCUAAGAUAAGAAAGGAAGAGGCUCCACGUAACGCCCCGACAAAUUUACAUGACCUUAAUCGUCAGCGGAAGCAUAACCUAAUCCUGUGGGUUAUGGCCCACAAAUAAAAUAAUAGCCUAAAAUUGAAAAUUCACUAUACAAUUACUCAUCGUAAAAUAAUGCUUGUUUAUCCAUCAUACAAAAUAUCCUAAAACCUCAUAGAAUCAUAAGAAAUCUCCAUAAUGCAGUAUAAUAGUGAUCCACAACUGUUCUUCCAUACCUAAAACAUAAAAAAAAAAACGUCGUGAGCCGAGGCUCAGUAACAUACUACUCUAACAUCGUUAAUUCAUUUCAACUCACUUUAUUUGAAAACAGGAAGAAGAGAAUAUCGCAAACAACAUUUCAUAAACAUAUAACUUGAUAUUGGAAAUCCAACCAUUUUGAGAUAUUAUCCUUUAUAAUCUUACAUCAUUUUUAAUGGUAACUUGGCAAGUACAACAUCAUAACAUCACAAUCAUUAAACCGAAAGGCGGCCACAACAAAGGUGACACUUGCGGUGCCCAUAACAUAAAUCCGAAAGGCGGUCACAACAAAGGUGACACUUGCAGUGCCCAUAACAUUCGAAAGGCGGUCACAACAAAGGUGACACUUGCGGUGCCCAUAUCCGAAAGGCUGUCACAACAAAGGUGACACUUGCGGUGCCCAUAAAGUACUGCCAAGAACCGUCUUUCACUUUCAUUUAUCAUGUUUUGUUAUGUUUAUAUUUAUGUGAUAAAACAUCUCUUAAGCAUCAUGAAAACCAAUUUAUCAUCCUAAACAUCAUUUAGCAAAACAUUUCAUAUCCCACAAUCCAUAAACACAUAUCAUCAAAAUAUUACGUAAAAGCGUCAUAAAACGUAGUUGGAAGGGGAGUGCGGGUAUUAGCAGUAGACGUUACCUGAAUUCCUGCUUAAUAACCUUGAUAGCCGGGGGAGGCUUGUAAUAUCCUUUAUCUUCCUUAAUCUAUUCAAGAAUAGUUUUAUUAAUGAAUGUUUCGGUAUUUAGCUUUUAAGCCUAUAUACUAGUUAGUGCUUAUUAAGGUCAUAGCGGACAUUAUAACGUCGUAAAGGUCUCCUUAAAGGUCAUUAUUUCUUAAUCGUUAAUAACUUUUUAAUUAAGGUGACUCUUUAACAACUAAUUAAUGAAAUAAAUCAUUUAGCUAUACUUUUAGAAAUUAAUGAAACAUUUAAAGUUAUAUUACUACAUAUUAUAUAACAUUUCAAAAACAUAUCAUUAUUCUAGUUCAUAAAUAAUAACUAAUUAGUCGUCCAUUAAUAAAUUAAUUAAGUUUAAAGUUAUAAUAGCUCCAUUAACAUUAUUAUAAUAUUAUUUAAUCAUUUAAAAACUAAUAAGUCGAGUAAUUAGUGAUUAUAAGUAAACUUAAGGAUUAGUGAAGUUCUCAUAACUUAAACUCAAUUAUAAACUUAAUGAAUUUACAGCUCAACUAGUUUAGAAAUCAUGAAUUAUAACCCAAUAAUAGAUUUUAGUAAAUAAGUUAGGUGGUUUAAUAAAACUAACUAAAUCAGUCCACUAAAGCUUAAUAUAUUAAAGCAACAAGAUUAACUUAAAUGACUUAGCUAAGUAAAUCAGAUUAUAAGCCCAACAUUAUACUUAACUUAAUAAAUUAAACUAACAUGACUUAAUGAAAUACUAAAUCAGCUUUAGUUUAACUCAAUAUGGCCCAACAAUAAUAUAAUUCAGAUUUAAAACUUAAGCUUGCUUCUGAGUCCAAAGUUCUAGGCCCAAAUGAAUUAAUAAAGGUUAAGGAUUAUAGACUUGGGCUUGCAUUAUAAACUGAGGAAAUCAGAAAUUUAAAAGGAGAAAAGGACGUCACCUCUGCUACUAGGAGCAGGGAGAACGACGAUCGUGCCUGAGGAACGAACGCCGGCUUCGGUGGUCGGCGGCGAGCAGUGGCGGUCUGCGUCAGCAACGUCAGUCUCCGGCGGCGGCGAAAGGCAGCAGCAGCGGCACGUACGAAGAAGAAGAGGGGCGAGAGAGACAGCGCGAGGAGAGAGAGAGAGCGCGCGAGGAGGAGGAGAGAGAGUGCGAACGUGAGGGUGCUGACGCGGAUCUCCGGCGGCGGCUAAUGACCGGCGAGUGACGAGGUGGGGGCGGGACUGUGCGCGGCGCAUGUGGCGCGCGCGGUGGCCAACGGUGGUCGGUUGUGGGGGUCAACACAGAGGGGAGAGAGAGAAGAAAUUUGGGAUUUUCCUUUGGGUUUCUUUUUGUUGCAAUUUUUCCGGCGAUUAUUGACUGAAUUUGUGUUUAGAGAGAGAAGAGAGGAUGAAGGUUAUUGUUGGUGGGUUCUUGAUGUUGAAUCUCCAUGGCUAUUUAUAGUGGAGUUUGGAGGUUUAAAAUCAGUGGUUGGGAGGAAGAUGGUGAAGUAACUAAUCUGAUUUUGUUAACUUGAAGAAGCUUUGGAUGAGGAUUGGUGACAGAUUUGACUGAAGAAGGAGAAGAAAGUUGUGAUUGCAUGAGUGACAAAUGGACAUGGUGGAGUGAGGAAGAAGACACCAUUAAUCGGGGGGGGGGGGAAUUGACCAUAGCUUUGUUUUCUCUUUUCUCUUUUUAUUUUGCAAUCCAAAAAUCAGAAAUUUUUCCAUACUAACACUCCUAAACGUGACUUAAUGAAAUUUUGGGUGAAAUGUUGACAUUUUGUACUUUAAGUGAAUUAUCAACUAUAUUAGCCUUCUUGUUUAACUCAUGAAAUCGUAAAUUAUAAAUUAUCGUCACUAAUAUAUUAAUAUUUUUAAGCGGGCACUCCUGAGGAAGAGGAGCGGGUGCUCCAUAUUACGCGAAGAAACAAAGGCAAAUGGCAGUAGCUUGGAGCGGCCAAGGAGCGUUCCCGGAGCGGGCGCUCCAUGUUGGUAGGAGCGGGGGCUCCGUCGUCCAGAUUUCCUAUUUUUGGCAGUAGCUUGGAGCGGCCUAGGAGCGAUCCAAGAGUGGGCGCUCCAAGCCUGGAGCAGGCGCUCCAUGUUGGUAGGAGCGAGCGCUCCAUCGUCCAGAUUUUCCAAUUUUUUGUUCCGUCUUUUACAACUUUGCCCUUAUUUCUACGGGGUAUAAAACCAAUUUUGUAAUAAUCCUAAUACUAAGCUUUUAAUUUCGGAAUUAAUUAGUUCUAAUUAGAGAGAGAGAUAGAGAAGUAGAACUUAGAGAGAGAAACUAUAUCUAAGCUUUUUAAUGUGGGUUAUUGAAGCUAUUUCAAUGGAGUUUUGCAUUUGAUUUUCAUCCAUCUUUGAGUAUUUCUUCUAUCUCUUCUCUUUAUUAACUUUUUUAUUUGAUUUACCUUGUUUGAGUAUUGAUUAGUUAGUAAUGAGUUGAUGAUUAGCUUAUUAGUUAUUAUUUUCAUCAUUGUUGCUUCACCAUUGUUGCUUCAGCCUUUUUAUUUAUUCCUUUCCAUGGCUAGUGAGUAGAUUAGUAGCUAGGGGAAGGGGAUGACCUUGCUAAUCAUGUUUUGGCCUUGAAAGUUAAGCUUGGGGUGUGAUUUGGGUGAGAUUGUGUUGUCUAGCUAAUUUGAUUGCCUUGUUUAUUUGAUUGAUCAUCAUUUGAACUUGUUGUGGAAAUCUAAGGUGAAGGAUUGAGAAAUGAAACCUUAGGUAGAACUUUAGCUAGAUUUUAGGUUGGCUUCACCAUGAAAAUAGGUGAUUGACUCCUUAGGACCUUAUUUGGUCACUAUGAGUUGUGGAAAUGCUUGAUUAAUUGAUUUUACCAUGAGAAUAGGUAAAAUUGGUUGAUUAAGUCCUCUUAAUUAGCUCGAGAGAGUAAUUAGGAAACAUUUGAGUGACUUAGCCCCCUAAUCAACCCUAAUGAAUCCCCUUGGCUUGACAAUCUGGUUAAUUAUCUGGUAGCUCGUGAAUCCCCUACCCUAGUGUCCUCUUAAUAUAGUUUAAUUCAAAUCAUUUAGUCUAUUUGUUAGUUUCUUAGUUCCUAAUUUCUUAGUUGUUCACUAAUCUCAAAAACCCCCAAAAAUAGUCUUAGUUCGCUAAAUCGCAUUCAACCCUUAAUUAAUCUUUGUUUCCUCGUGGAUGGGAAAAGGAGGGAUAAAAAAAAAUUCACGUGACCGAGCUGGAGCGCCCGCUCCAGCUAAAAGGGAGCGCCCGCUCCAGCUAAAAGGGAGCGCCCGCUCCAGCUAAAAGGGAGCGCCCGCUCAAGCCUUGGAGCGCCCGGUCCUUGAGCGCUCCCCACACGCUCCAACUCUCUGCCUUCCUUCUUUCUUUUUGCGGGGGGAUGGAGCGCCCGCUCUAGUUUUAGAGGAGCGCCCCCCUUUGGGCUCCUUUGGCUCGCUCCUCCCUCUCUUCUUCAACACUUAGCCAUUUUUUAUCAUCUUUUUCACUCCUCUUUCAAUAUUUCUCAUGACAAACCUCUUAUUCACUCCUCUUUUUUUUUUUCAAAGCUUAGAACCCGGGUUGCCUCCCGUAAGCGCUUCUUUAAAGUCAUUAGCUUGACUUCCCUACGAUUAAAAUUCUCAUAGGGGAAGGGGGUAGUCAUCCAAAGCAAUGUGACAAAUGUGCUCAAUUUGGGUUCCAUCUGGUAUACCUUGAGUCUUUCCCAUUUACUUUGAACGUCCCUUUUUCUUCCUCCACACUUCCACCGCUCCAUGCGGGAACACCGUUUUUACUUCAAACGGUC